UGACGCAGCAAAAGACACGCGGGGCCUCGUGCUUCAUUGUCUGAAUGACUGGCGCGACCAAAGCCAAGAAGAGCGGCUGCGCUUGACAGUAAGGCUGAACAAUCAUCACCAUGUGUGCCUGAAACCUAUCUUUCGAUAGCUAACUCAGCGUUCCUCAUUUACCGACUGAUGACACAGCAUCAGGAGCAACCUGGGGUUCAGUAUCUCGCUCAAGGACACUUGGACAAGGUCGCAAUGGCCGGGGAACCACCGAACCACCAACUUCCGGGUUGGGUAAACGAGCACUCCACCACUGAGCCGUCCUGCCCCGAGAGUUCCAGCUGCAGAAAAACAGGCUGAAAACAUGAUGUUUCAAGCACAACGCCUCAGUGGAACGCACAACGCCUCACUUUUGGUGGUGAGUAGUGUUUUGUUUGCACAAAAUUUGGAAUUAUAGCCCAAAAGUUGCACCAUGGUCUCACUGGAUCAUCCCAAAAUCUCUCAAACACACGUGGGGGUUUAAAUGUGUCAUGGUCUUGUUUUGAAGAUCACAAAAGCCUGUCAUUUGAACAGGGCUGUGUAAACUUUUUAAAUCCACGAUACAUAUGAAGGUGAUUUGAUUUUGUCUCUGUUUCUUAAUGUUGCAAUUUGUCAAUAUUUAUUCAAUAUUCAUAUCGCUUAUGUAAGGAUAUGAUUCAGUCCAAGCCUCGCUGCGGUUCAAUGAGGGUGCUCGUGAACAUGGAUUAUUAGAAUAGCUGAAUGACAAAGGUUAUGGAGAUGACAUUCAAGAGACUGAGCCAUCUUGGCCUGAAGCAGACUGUGGGAAAGAAAGGAGGAAGGGAGGAAGGAAGGAAGGAAGGCAGGCAUGGGAUGGAUGAGCGCCACCUGUCAAAGGUGCAUGACAAGCUGGGAGGGGUUAAUUGGGGUGACGUGACAGAUUUGGCAUGCGUAGCACACUAGCACUCGAGGUGCGUCCGCUCAGUCCGAAAGUGCUACGUCUCCUCAAUGUCAAUCAGCUUUGCCCCCCUCACGGGAGAAAAUCAUAUCCCACACCCGAGCUGAUGGGCGCAUUCCGUCUGAGCUGCUGACUUCCGUGCGACCGGCGCGCUCUAUGGCGACGCGUAAUCCUGUACACCCCUGGCUGCUGUUAUGCUUUGCGAUGGAGGCGAGUUGAUGGGAUGAAUAAAUGAUGGGCAUGUUUGUGGAUGUCCACACAGUCCGACAGCUGCGCUGCACUCAAAUAAACUGCACUGCAGAAAAAACAACUCCAUCAAGCCAGUGGCGAAGAGUGGCCCCCCGGAGCUGGUGGGGGCACUGCGGCCUACUGGAAGGCCUUGCGUGUGCGCGUCGUAGUCAUUUGAGUAGUGAACAUGAACUCAAGAGGGCAAAAACCGAUUAGGACGCAGUUAAAAGUGAAAUGACCAUCAUUCUUAUUCUUGACUCUAUUUGGUUUUUACAAUAUGCACAACUCUCAUUUAUUGUGCAAUAAUCUAAUCGUAGCUUGUAUUUUCUUAUUAGCGUUGCGCUAGUGCACCGGCUUUCAGUUGGAUAUCAAGGCUAUUGAAUAAACGCAAUCGAACUGUUUUCCGUGGAUCAGUGAUCCACUACAGCGCAUUCGGGUCCCCUGUAAUUAUUUUGAAUGGAUGCAUGUGUUCAAGGAGCCUCGUCGCUCUUAUAGAUCUCUUUUAAAAAAA
Hippocampus comes (tiger tail seahorse) is the source of this 1673-nucleotide long non-coding RNA. RefSeq lists it as uncharacterized. The transcript has 2 exons. Lineage: Eukaryota; Metazoa; Chordata; Actinopteri; Syngnathiformes; Syngnathidae. The record is from RefSeq and is a predicted model, not a curated record.